CUAACACAUGCAAGUCGAACGGUAAAUACUAUAGCAAUAUGGUAUGAGAUGACGCACGGGUGCGUAACACGUAUGCAACCUACCCAAGACAGGAGGAUGCUCAGGGAAACUUGGAUUAACCCUCCAUAAGAUCGUAGAGUGGCAUCAUUAGCGAUAAAAACAUUAGUGGUUUUGGAUGGGCAUGCGCAUGGGGGGUAGUUGGUAGUGUAACGGACUACCAAGACGAUGAUCAUUAGGGGACCUGAAGGGUGAUCCCCCACACUGGCACUGAGAUACGGGCCAGAGUCCUACGGGGGCAGCAGUGGGGAAUAUUGGACAAUGGGGGAAACCCUGAUCCAGCCAUCCGCGUGAGUGAAGAAGGCCCUUAGGUUGUAACAGCCCUGCCAGGGGGGCGAUGAUG
This 400-nucleotide ribosomal RNA is filed under the name uncultured bacterium. RNAcentral's name for it is "bacterial SSU rRNA". It matches the Rfam family "Bacterial small subunit ribosomal RNA", at positions 48 to 453 of the family's 1533-position model. The record is from RNAcentral.